UUUAGCCAAGGAGGUGAUCAGUCUUUGAGUAGGUUUCAAAUACAAAGAAGAAGCAGAAUGUAGUGUAUGUAAUCUCAAAUUUGCCCAUUGAUUUCACAGAUUCCUAGGUCCGUUUCUGAGUGCCGCACUUCACUUCAGGAGGGAACAAGACAGAAUAAAACAAGCAUGUAAUAUGAGGAAAUGUGCUGCUUGGUGAGAAAGAAAGUUUGAUCGUUACUGGAG
RNAcentral lists this long non-coding RNA (222 nucleotides) under Homo sapiens (human). RNAcentral describes it as "HSALNT0111760". Lineage: Eukaryota; Metazoa; Chordata; Mammalia; Primates; Hominidae. The record is from RNAcentral.